Cucurbita moschata (crookneck pumpkin) is the source of this 659-nucleotide long non-coding RNA. RefSeq lists it as uncharacterized. NCBI's taxonomy places the organism in Eukaryota, Viridiplantae, Streptophyta, Magnoliopsida, Cucurbitales, Cucurbitaceae. The record is from RefSeq and is a predicted model, not a curated record. The transcript has 5 exons.
CUCAUUUUCUUUCACUUUCCCGCUAUUUUAUCGCUCGUUUUCUUUCGCUGAGAUUUUGCUGCUGCACUUCAGGUUCUUCAGCCGUACAACAAUGGAAACCGAAACUUCUUGCUUUCAUCAGCGCUUGCCGCUAACGUGCGCCGGAGGCAUUUUAGCCUCGCUGCUUUGCCUUAUGACCAUGGCCGAGUUGCUUGCUUAAUCUCAUGUGAAGCUACCGCUCUUUGUUCUUUCAACUUCGUUGACAAUCGUGUUUGUUUCUUCGACCGUCAGUUCAUGAAAGAUGAGAUGAGAUUCAACAUUCACCAGCCCUUCCUCAGAACUUCUCGCCCCGAUCGCUGAGCUUUUGCUGCUGCACUUCAGGUUCUUCGGAACGUUCAAAAUGGAAACCGAAGCUUCUUCUGUUCAUCAGCGCUCGUUGCAUUUCAGGUAGCAAUCGCUGGUAAAGUGUAGUAAGUUUUAUUUAUUAAACAAACAUGUCUACUUAAUCAAAUUAAAAUAUGAAGUAUUUUCAACUAAGUUAUUAAGUUCUAUAUAUAUAUAGUAUUGUAUUGUAUGGUUAUUUUAUCAUUUAAUUUUGAUAUAUAUAUAUAUAUAUAUAUAUAUAUAGUAUUGUUAUUUUGUCGUUUAAUGACGUAUAAAGAUGGGUAGGUCUUGAUUGA